RNAcentral lists this ribosomal RNA (720 nucleotides) under uncultured fungus. Its description in RNAcentral is "eukaryotic LSU rRNA". The stretch from base 89 to 720 matches the Rfam family "Eukaryotic large subunit ribosomal RNA", at positions 1 to 649 of the family's 3401-position model. Lineage: Eukaryota; Fungi. The record is from RNAcentral.
UGGGACCCUCUCGCAGCGAGCUUUCAUUAGCACGCGUCGAGUCUAAAGGACCUUCCGGGCCGGCUACCUAUUUAUCUAUUAACCAGGUUGACCUCGGAUCAGGUAGGAAUACCCGCUGAACUUAAGCAUAUCAAUAAGCGGAGGAAAAGAAACCAACAGGGAUUGCCUCAGUAACGGCGAGUGAAGCGGCAACAGCUCAAAUUUGAAAUCUGGCCGUCAGGUCCGAGUUGUAAUUUGUAGAGGAUGUUUUGGGCACCGCGGCCGGAUAAAUUUCUUGGAACAGAAUGUCAUAGAGGGUGAGAGUCCCGUCCUGACCGGCCGUAGGACCUGUGUAAAACUCCUUCGACGAGUCGACUUGUUUGGGAAUGCAGAUCAAAAUGGGUGGUAAAUUUCAUCUAAAGCUAAAUAUUGGCCAGAGACCGAUAGCGCACAAGUAGAGUGAUCGAAAGAUGAAAAGCACUUUGAAAAGAGAGUUAAACAGUAUGUGAAAUUGUUGAAAGGGAAGCGCAGGCAACCAGACUCGAGCGCGGGGUUCCCCCUUCCUUUUGGUCGGGCUACUUCCCCGUGACCGGGCCAUCAUCAGUUUUGGGGGCGGGUUAAAGGCCGUGGGAAUGUAUCUACCCCUUCGGAGGUAGACUUAUAGCCCGCGGCGUCAUGCCGCCUCCCGGGACUGAGGAACGCGCUUCGGCGAGGAUGAUGGCGUAAUGGUUGUCUGCGACC